Molecule: ribosomal RNA, 242 nt
Filed under: uncultured beta proteobacterium
Lineage: Bacteria; Pseudomonadati; Pseudomonadota; Betaproteobacteria
Description: partial 16S ribosomal RNA
Rfam family: Bacterial small subunit ribosomal RNA
Source: RNAcentral
AACCAAGCGAAAGUUUGGCUAAUACCGCAUACGACCUACGGGUGAAAGGGGGGGAUCGCAAGACCUCUCGCUAUUGGAGCGGCCGAUGUCCGAUUAGCUAGUUGGUGGGGUAAAGGCCUACCAAGGCAACGAUCGGUAGCUGGUCUGAGAGGACGAUCAGCCACACUGGGACUGAGACACGGCUCAGACUCCUACGGGAGGCAGCAGUGGGGAAUUUUGGACAAUGGGGGAAACCCUGAUCC